GACGAACGCUGGCGGCGUGCCUAAUACAUGCAAGUCGAGCGGACCAAACAGGAGCUUGCUCUUGUUUGGUUAGCGGCGGACGGGUGAGUAACACGUGGGUAACCUGCCCGUAAGACCGGGAUAACUCCGGGAAACCGGAGCUAAUACCGGAUAACACCGAAGACCGCAUGGUCUUUGGUUGAAAGGCGGCUUCGGCUGCCACUUACGGAUGGGCCCGCGGCGCAUUAGCUAGUUGGUGAGGUAACGGCUCACCAAGGCGACGAUGCGUAGCCGGCCUGAGAGGGUGACCGGCCACACUGGGACUGAGACACGGCCCAGACUCCUACGGGAGGCAGCAGUAGGGAAUCUUCCGCAAUGGACGAAAGUCUGACGGGGCGACGCCGCGUGAGCGAAGAAGGUCUUCGGAUCGUAAAGCUCUGUUGUUAGGGAAGAAGAAGCGCCGUUCGAACAGGGCGGCGCGGUGACGGUACCUAACGAGAAAGCCCCGGCUAACUACGUG
Molecule: ribosomal RNA, 499 nt
Filed under: uncultured bacterium
Lineage: Bacteria
Description: partial 16S ribosomal RNA
Rfam family: Bacterial small subunit ribosomal RNA
Source: RNAcentral